AAACUGGCUUUUUUUAAAGCCCCCAAGAGACUGAGGAGAUGUUUC
Molecule: non-coding RNA, 45 nt
Organism: Balearica pavonina (black crowned-crane)
Lineage: Eukaryota; Metazoa; Chordata; Aves; Gruiformes; Gruidae
Source: Rfam